Molecule: ribosomal RNA, 468 nt
Filed under: uncultured bacterium
Lineage: Bacteria
Description: partial 16S ribosomal RNA
Rfam family: Bacterial small subunit ribosomal RNA
Source: RNAcentral
GACGAACGCUGGCGGCGUGCUUAACACAUGCAAGUCGAACGGAAAGGCCCUGCUUUUGUGGGGUGCUCGAGUGGCGAACGGGUGAGUAACACGCGAGUAACCUGCCCUUGACUUUGGGAUAACUUCAGGAAACUGGGGCUAAUACCGGAUAGGAGCUCCUGCUGCAUGGUGGGGGUUGGAAAGUUUCGGCGGUUGGGGAUGGACUCGCGGCUUAUCAGCUUGUUGGUGGGGUAGUGGCUUACCAAGGCUUUGACGGGUAGCCGGCCUGGGAGGGUGACCGGCCACAUUGGGACUGAGAUACGGCCCAGACUCCUACGGGAGGCAGCGGUGGGGAAUAUUGCACAAUGGGCGGAAGCCUGAUGCAGCAACGCCGCGUGCGGGAUGACGGCCUUCGGGUUGUAAACCGCUUUCGCCUGUGACGAAGCGUGAGUGACGGUAAUGGGUAAAGAAGCACCGGCUAACUACGUG